Molecule: long non-coding RNA, 1986 nt
Organism: Lycium barbarum (goji berry)
Lineage: Eukaryota; Viridiplantae; Streptophyta; Magnoliopsida; Solanales; Solanaceae
Exons: 2
Source: RefSeq, a predicted model, not a curated record
CCAGAAAAUUCUGGAAAGAGAGAGAGAAGAGCCUUGGAGAGAAGAAAAAACAAUUUUGACCAAAAUCUGAGCCCCGAAGCCCAUGAAGAGAAAAGUGUUGUACGUUGCGUUGUCUUCAAUUUGAGCUAAAAUUCAACCAAGGAGGAGAGUGAUAACGUGGUGUCUGCAUUCUUAAGGUGUGAAUAAGGUACCUUUUCAUUGUUAACGAGUUUAUUUAGAAUUUUAACGGAUUAGAACGGAGAGAAUAGCCUGAUAAAUUCGUUUGUUGGUGCUGUGAAUUAUGAAACGAGAUUUGAAGAAAACUUUGGAUGAAAAUAAAUGUAUUUAACUUGUAAAAUGUAGAGGAUGUGGUUACUGAUGUUGUUAGUGUUAAUUUCAGCUUCUUUAUGGAAAUAAAAUUAUUAAAUAGUUAUAUCGCAAAUUUGGUUGGUUAAGAAAUUUAGAAAACAGUGCGCGGGCUGUUUUAUGGCAUACGUCGGUAUUGGAAAUGAUGUUAAUACUAUUGGUAUUGUUGUUGAUGUUGUUGGUUGUUGAAUUGAAAUUUCGGGCUAGGCAUAUAAACAGGGGAAAUGCUGCCCGAAUUUCGGCAGAAUUUAAAAGGGUUUUAAUUAAAGUUUCGAGACGAACGUACGACGAUGAUCCUAAUGAUAUUAUGAAUGAUUCCAUAUGUGGAGUACGAGGCUGCGAAUAAUUCUUAAGCGAGUUGCAAGACGGGAAGUAAGUUGAAAGUCGAGAAUCAUCUUCCAGGUAUGUAAGGCUUACCCUUUCUUUCUUUCUUUGGCAUGUUCUAGAGCUAAGUAAGGUAUGAUACGUAUUUUGGGGUAACUCUAUUCUUUAAUUCCGAGCUUGUUUACGAUUCUUAUUCACUUCUUAAUAUGAGUAUACUUAGUAUAGUCGAGCUUAUUGUUUGAUUGCAUAACAAGCAAAGUAUAAAGAGUUCUUGUUUUUAAAAGAGUUCUAUAAGUAUUAAUGUCCCUAACUUUCGUAGACGGUCUCGGAUUGCUCUAAAACGUUCGUAAAGGGUUCUGUAGUAAAUGAUGGUCAAAACUUUCUUAUGCAAACUCGGAUUGACCCGAAACGUGUUUACGAUCUUUCAAGUGUCGUUUUGUGUACUUAUCUAUCGAGUCUUGAAAAUUGAUUUGUGUGCAUAUAGUUUCUCACUACUCUGCUCGUGAAUGUCUCAAUAUGUCCUUCACUGAGCCCGGGCCAGGAUAUGUUAUCGUGCGCACUCCUCUGCAUUGUUCACCGAGUCCCUCAAUAGAGGGCCGGGAUACGUUAUAUGUAUAUACAUUCUGGAGUAUGAUGUGUUCUGGAGUAUGAUGUGUUACAAAGUUAUUCCCUAUUCUGGAGUAUGAUGUGUUAUGGCGCCAAUGACGGGGUGGCGACCAUGUUUUGUCCACCGUGUCCCAUAAUGGGCCGGAUAGGACAUAUCCCAUCGACAUGCAUGAUUUGUGUUUUAAAAGUACACACUGAUGAGUAGAAGACAUUGCUAGAAGAUGUUCCAGCGGGAUUAGCGAGCUCCAUUUUCUUCCGGAGUGUUGCCGAGUUAGAGUAUAUAUGUUAUGAUUCCUGAUUGAUGUUAGAGACUUUGCAGACCGAGUCACGUGUGUGAGUCGUCAGUCUUGUAAGCGGCUCUGCAAGCCGAUGUACCAUUUUGCGUUAUGUUACAAAUUCCAUAUGAUUACAGAUUUUACUUGACUUGAGAACGACGAAAAGAAUGUUUCUGAAAGCCUUUACUGUGUAUUUCAUUUUUAUUUGAUUUAAGAGUCCAAAGAGAUUAUGUGUGUAGUAAGAGUCAGCGGGUUCGCUCGGCCCUAAAUAAGGGUCGGGUGCCCAUCAUGCCCUACCAAGGUUAGGGUGUGACAGGCAUCCCAUCAAUGGGAGUCUUUUCGAAUAGCUGUAUGGCAUCAGAUAUUGAGAUUGUAGUAGUAAUCACUUUCCUUUUAAGGGUUAUUAAUGGAGAAGAGAUGCUUGUUGCAGAGAUCA